GGUCCUGGGGGAAGCUCGGGCAGAGUCCGGAGCGCUGGGCAGGGUCGUGCCCCGCGGGGAGAUGCUCCCUGCGAAAACUGCCCUGCGAGCGCGUGUGGCAGCGGGCACACGAACAAAACGGGCGGCGGCGCUUGGGACGGGUUGGAGAGAGCAGCACCAGAGCCGCGUGUGUUCUACCGCCGUCCCAAAUCACACAUUCCCCCCGGUUGUCACUUGGAAAGAAGAAUAAAGCUGGCGGCAAGAGCGGGGGGAGGCAGUCGGGUCUGACAGGGCCCCAGCCCGACAAAGAUACUGGAUUCUUAUCAGCCUUCCCCAAGUGAAGCAAUUGUGGCCAAGUCUCAUUCCGCAGCAAUCCAAGGCCUUUUCAAAUGCAAGUACUAUUUUUUCCCCUAUAUUUUUUUUUUCCUACUGCCAUCCUUGAACUGCUCUGAAGAACAAUCUUGAAAUAAAACCGCGUGUGCCACAAA
Molecule: long non-coding RNA, 467 nt
Organism: Cyanistes caeruleus (blue tit)
Lineage: Eukaryota; Metazoa; Chordata; Aves; Passeriformes; Paridae
Source: RefSeq, a predicted model, not a curated record